RNAcentral lists this ribosomal RNA (608 nucleotides) under uncultured bacterium. RNAcentral describes it as "bacterial SSU rRNA". It matches the Rfam family "Bacterial small subunit ribosomal RNA", at positions 16 to 616 of the family's 1533-position model. The record is from RNAcentral.
AUCCUGGCUCAGGAUGAACGCUAGCGAUAGGCCUAACACAUGCAAGUCGAGGGGCAGCAUAGAGUAGCAAUACUUUGAUGGCGACCGGCGCACGGGUGAGUAACACGUAUGCAACCUACCUACAUCAGGGGAAUAACCCGGAGAAAUUCGGACUAAUACCGCAUAAUACAGGGAUGCCGCAUGGCAAUAUUUGUUAAAGAUUUAUCGGAUGUAGAUGGGCAUGCGUUCCAUUAGCUAGUUGGUAAGGUAACGGCUUACCAAGGCAACGAUGGAUAGGGGAACUGAGAGGUUUGUCCCCCACACUGGAACUGAGACACGGACCAGACUCCUACGGGAGGCAGCAGUGAGGAAUAUUGGUCAAUGGACGAGAGUCUGAACCAGCCAAAUCGCGUGAAGGAAGACUGCCCUACGGGUUGUAAACUUCUUUUGUACAGGAAUAAAAGACAUUACGUGUAAUGUAUUGCAUGUACUGUACGAAUAAGCAUCGGCUAACUCCGUGCCAGCAGCCGCGGUAAUACGGAGGAUGCGAGCGUUAUCCGGAUUUAUUGGGUUUAAAGGGUGCGCAGGCGGGAUUUUAAGUCAGCGGUGAAAUUUUCAGGCUCAACCUG